CGUGAGCAAUCUACCCUGGUGCGGGGACAACGAGGGGAAACCUUCGCUAAUACCGCAUGGUCAAGAGAUCCGAAUGGGUCUUUUGGGAAACGUGGCCUCUUUACAAUGCUACGGUGCCGGGAGGAGCUCGCGGGCUAUCAGCUAGUUGGUGAGGUAACGGCUCACCAAGGCAGCGACGGCUACGGGGUCUGAGAGGACGACCCCGCACAUUGGAACUGAGACACGGUCCAG
Molecule: ribosomal RNA, 231 nt
Filed under: uncultured bacterium
Lineage: Bacteria
Description: partial 16S ribosomal RNA
Rfam family: Bacterial small subunit ribosomal RNA
Source: RNAcentral